Molecule: ribosomal RNA, 241 nt
Filed under: uncultured bacterium
Lineage: Bacteria
Description: partial 16S ribosomal RNA
Rfam family: Bacterial small subunit ribosomal RNA
Source: RNAcentral
UAGUCCACGCAGUAAACGAUGAUUACUAGGAGUUUGCGAUAUAUUGUAAGCUCUACAGCGAAAGCGUUAAGUAAUCCACCUGGGGAGUACGCCGGCAACGGUGAAACUCAAAGGAAUUGACGGGGGCCCGCACAAGCGGAGGAACAUGUGGUUUAAUUCGAUGAUACGCGAGGAACCUUACCCGGGUUUGAACGUAAGAAGACCGGAGUGGAAACACUCUUUCUAGCAAUAGCUUUUUACG